CAGCUGCCUGCUCUAUGAAAAUGAGGCUCUAUUUCAGAUACCUGAAGUGAAGAACCAUCAUUCCUUCACUGAUUUUUGAAAAUGUGGGUCACCAUACGUAAGGUAGUGACCCACAUCCAGAGCAGAACAUCCAUUGCCUGGGAGGGCCACAAGGACAAGGACCACCUAUGUCCUACUGAAAUUGCACAAGCGGGAGGCAGCCUGCAAAGCCUUAUCUUGUUGUGUGCUGAUUGUGAGCUGGAGACAACAGCAAGUAACAGCGCAGAGCAGACGUCAUUCCGAAAUGGCCGGCUGCCCUGUACAUACAGCACAAAGGCAGUAAACUCCUUAUCUCACCAUCCUAUAAAUCUUUGUUGACCAUCUCUGUAUGUGUCUCCAUAAGAACAUUUGAUCUAAUAGCCUUUUUAAAAAUUUCCCUUCAUUUUCCAGUAUAACCCCCCAGUGAAUCAUUAAUGUAACAAGAUAAAGAUCUCUAGCUAAGGAAUUAUUCUUAUUAUAAAGUUCCCAAGUUCUAGUAGCAAACCUCUCCAGGGUAUAUAUUAAACCAAAAAGGUCCCACACAAUCAUUUAAAUCUACAAAAUUCAAUUCAUUUCUGACUCCCUCCAGGCACUUGUUUUAUAGUUAUCUAAUAAAGGGGAGUUGUGGCUGUUAAAUGAUAAAGUCUCCAAAGGGGACGUGGGAAUUCUGCACACUAGUCCCCAACAUUUGCUGGGAAGCUUUAUUCCUCCAUCUCGCCCUCAUCCCUUUUGAAAAGGAAACCUUUCAAAGUCUUGCAAAAUGAAUAGAUGAUUCUGUUUUUAAAGAAAAGCAAAGUCCAUAAAAUUUCCUUACAUAAAUGUACUGCUCGAGGAUAUAGGUUACAAGAAGAUUAAGCACUUAAUUGUUCCAGAAAUUAUGUGUAUGCCUUCA
Long non-coding RNA from Aquila chrysaetos chrysaetos, 910 nucleotides. RefSeq lists it as uncharacterized. The transcript has 3 exons. The record is from RefSeq and is a predicted model, not a curated record. NCBI's taxonomy places the organism in Eukaryota, Metazoa, Chordata, Aves, Accipitriformes, Accipitridae.